This 607-nucleotide ribosomal RNA is filed under the name Didymosphaeriaceae sp. I SMR-2011. Its description in RNAcentral is "eukaryotic LSU rRNA". The stretch from base 237 to 390 matches the Rfam family "5.8S ribosomal RNA". The record is from RNAcentral. Lineage: Eukaryota; Fungi; Ascomycota; Dothideomycetes; Pleosporales; Didymosphaeriaceae.
UUCGUAGGUGAACCUGCGGAAGGAUCAUUAACCGUUACAAACAGUGUGUGAUGCGGCCGCCGAGGUGAAUAGCCUCUGGUUGGUAUGGGGUUCGCCCCUUCACGCUCACGCGUCUGCCAUCCUUACUUUACGAGCACCUUCUGUUCUCCCUCGGCAAGGGCCUCGCCCUGCCGUUGGAACUACAAAACUCUUUUUUGCAUCUAGCAUUACCUGUUCCGACAAAAACAAUCGUUUACAACUUUCAACAAUGGAUCUCUUGGCUCUGGCAUCGAUGAAGAACGCAGCGAAAUGCGAUAAGUAGUGUGAAUUGCAGAAUUCAGUGAAUCAUCGAAUCUUUGAACGCACAUUGCGCCCCUCGGUAUUCCGUGGGGCAUGCCUGUUCGAGCGUCAUCUACACCCUCAAGCUCUGCUUGGUGUUGGGCGUCUGUCCCGCCUCCGCGCGUGGACUCGCCCCAAAUACAUUGGCAGCGGUCUUUGCCUCCUCUCGCGCAGCACAUUGCGCUUCUCGAGGUGUCGCGGACACGCGUCCAGUAAGCAACAUUUACCGUCUUUGACCUCGGAUCAGGUAGGGAUACCCGCUGAACUUAAGCAUAUCAAUAAGCGGAGG